GAUGAAGAACGUAGCGAAAUGCGAUAAGUAAUGUGAAUUGCAGAAUUCAGUGAAUCAUCGAAUCUUUGAACGCACCUUGCGCUCCUUGGUAUUCCGAGGAGCAUGCCUGUUUGAGUGUCAUGAAAUUCUCAACCUUUUCAGCUUUCUUUGUUGAUCAGGCUUGGAUGUGGGAGUAUGCGGGCUUCUCAGAAGUCGGCUCUCCUGAAAUGCAUUAGCGGGACCUUUGUUGCCUGGCUUUGGUGUGAUAAUUAUCUACGCCAUUGUAGUCAAGGAGCUUAAAAUGAGGUUUCAGCUUCUAACCGUCUCCCCUGAGACAACUUUUUGACAACUUGACCUCAAAUCAGGUAGGACUACCCGCUGAACUUAAGCAUAUCAAUAAGCGGAGGA
This 387-nucleotide unclassified non-coding RNA is filed under the name soil metagenome. Its description in RNAcentral is "partial contains 5.8S ribosomal RNA, internal transcribed spacer 2, and large subunit ribosomal RNA". The stretch from base 1 to 120 matches the Rfam family "5.8S ribosomal RNA", at positions 35 to 154 of the family's 154-position model. The record is from RNAcentral.